Molecule: non-coding RNA, 99 nt
Organism: Mycena alexandri
Lineage: Eukaryota; Fungi; Basidiomycota; Agaricomycetes; Agaricales; Mycenaceae
Source: the annotation of a GenBank genome assembly
GCCUCUAUGGAUCAACGCUAGAUCGCCUCCGCUUCAUAGCAAGCCGUGGAGCAUUGAGGUGUUUCGGGGGAGACGUAGGUUCGAGUCCUACUGGGGGCG